GCCCCAGCCCGCCGCGCCCGGCCGCCGGUGGUGCGUGCCGCCGUGCGGGCGGUAGCGAGUCCGAGAGGCGGGCCCGCGGGCUCCUCUCCAGCCCUCCUUUCCUCUCCCUGCUCCUGCUCCGCGAAGCGGCGCCGCACCGCAGAAAUGAAAAGUUAUGAAAUGUUCCAUUGAGGUCUCAGAGGAAAAGAGGAUAAAAUAAGGAUGCCGAAGCAUUUCACAAAUGUCAGCAAGGAACAGAGCAAGACGUACAUCAUCUUUAUGCAGUGGUAACCAGGUGGAAGCUGCUUGUUUAUGCCAUUGUAUUUGCUGGGCACAUUCGGGAUGCUUGAAAGUGUAGCCACCAUUUCUUUAAAAAUCUUAACCAACUAGUAAACUGCCAGAAGAUUAUUUUUCAUGGACAGUUGUCGGAGUAUAUUGCCUGUAGCAGAACGUCAGCAUCGCUGGGGAACCUGUUAAAAAUGAAAAUUCCUGGGCCCAAUCCCGAGGAGAAACUGGUGUGCUGUUCAGUGGCAGAGCACUUCCCCAGCUUGUG
RNAcentral lists this long non-coding RNA (532 nucleotides) under Chinchilla lanigera (long-tailed chinchilla). RNAcentral's name for it is "lncRNA (ENSCLAG00000028935.1)". The record is from RNAcentral. Lineage: Eukaryota; Metazoa; Chordata; Mammalia; Rodentia; Chinchillidae.